GUGCUUAUGGUGUAGUGGUUAUCACAUCUAUCUAACACACAGAAGGCCCCAGGUUCGAGCCCUGGUGAGCAGA
Molecule: transfer RNA, 73 nt
Filed under: Penaeus monodon (black tiger shrimp)
Lineage: Eukaryota; Metazoa; Arthropoda; Malacostraca; Decapoda; Penaeidae
Description: tRNA-Val
Rfam family: tRNA
About the family: Transfer RNA (tRNA) molecules are approximately 80 nucleotides in length.
Source: RNAcentral